Dicentrarchus labrax (European seabass) is the source of this 6140-nucleotide long non-coding RNA. RefSeq lists it as uncharacterized. The record is from RefSeq and is a predicted model, not a curated record. NCBI's taxonomy places the organism in Eukaryota, Metazoa, Chordata, Actinopteri, Moronidae. The transcript has 2 exons.
GGGUUCCUUUCCAAGUUUUAAAAUGCAGUAUAGAUCUUACAUUUAAAAAUCUAACGUAUCUUUUCUUCUACUUCUGUCAAGUGUUUUUGUUGUUGAAUAUUUGCAUUUAAGCCUGAUUUGAGUGAAUUUACAGAAUUAUUAACUUCCCUGAAAAUGUUUUAAAAAAUAACAUUUUUACCUGAAAGUAAACUUUAAAUACAUUUAUACUUGCUAAAAAAAGAAAAAAAAAAAAGAAAAUACAGAUAACAUAAGAUGAAUAUGCUGUCGCUCAUAGGAACUAACAACUCAUGGCCACUCACUGACUCACUGCUGUACAUCACACAUUAAACGCCACAUUAAAGUAACAAUUAUGGAUUCAUUCUUACUUUGAUCCAAAAAGCCUGUGGUCAAAUAUAUAUAUAUAUAUAUAUAUAUAUAUAUAUAUAUAUAUAUAUAUAUAUAUAUAUUACAGAGCCUCAAUUUUCUACAGGAACUUUUUGAAACGUGUUGAAAAGAUGAAAACACUUUUAUUUCCUCAACAGUGAAUCUUGUUUUUUCGUCUGGGCGUUGAUGAACAACUUGUCAGCAGUGUAAAAAGUUUCAUCAGUCCUGCCUACAUAUGUUUUUUUUUUCUUUCCUCUUCCCUUCACACAGACGUUUAACAACUGAGACUGUGGUUCGAACAGGUGAACACAAAGCUUAACGUAUCCCGCUGUCCUCAGGCCCCACAGAGCACUCUUAUCUCAGGAGAGGCUGUGGGUGCUGGAUUGCUGAGUCACCUUUCGUGGGAGGCUGCCCUUAUCUCCUAAGAAGCACAACAUUCAGGCAGUUGGUUGCAAAAGGAGGAACUUUGAGCAGGAGCACUGUGGCCUGCUGUGUCUUCACGGCCAUACUACGGAUUGCAGCAACGCUUUGCGACUUCCUCAAAGCCACAAGGGCCAGCUCUGCUUUGUCUGCGAGGUAAGAAGAGGCUGCAGCUUUUGGACGCAUCAAGGUAUGAGAAGGCUGCAGGAUGACCAACUCCAGAGGCCACGCAGAGGGAAUGCUGGGACUGAAAUGUGACUCAGUGCUAUCAGCGAGCGCAGAGGGGUCAGAACGUGACUGUGGCCUUCCAUGAACGACAGAUACUGUCCCGUCCCAGUGACACAGCAGCUUUGCUCUGUGUGGCUGUGGCUGAAAGGCAAAAUACUGUUAGGACAAUGAUUCAGCCAAGGUUUUAGAGAAGUUACUGCAGAGGUGGGAUCAAUACUCACCGCUGGCUGAGUUGCUGAUCAUCAUCCUGACGUUUGACUUAUACAAAAAACCUACAAACUGAAGCAUGUUUCGGCAGAGGGCUUCAAGGUUUUAUAAGAUUAUUUAAUUUUGCAGCAUUUUGAGAUUAUACUACACGUACGGGGCUGUAAUCCACGGCUGCAAAUCAAUCUAAACAUAACCCUCUGCUCCUUCGGGUUAAUCCACAACCUGAAGCAAGCCAUGUUGCUGUAAUUAAUAUCAUUACCUGGCAAGUCUCAAAACAUCAUCAGGCAAUGUAGCCGGUCGACUACCGAACAAAAGGCUCCGGCUGGUUCUUAUUUCAUGGAUCUUUAAGCAGUAUUCACUGUUUCACAUUUGGAAGCAUGAGCAGCAUGUAACCCUUAAUUGGUUUCAACACCUUAAUAAGUCAAAGACGUUCAAGGCUGAUAAUCACAUUAAAUAGUCCAAUUUAUCUAAAAAGUCAAUUGCAAACUGAAAAACUCUCUUUCUUUAGGAAUGCAUUAUGCUGUGAGGAUGUCAGAGUAAAUUAAAUUCCCCUCUGCACACUAAAGCAUCUAUUUCCUUAUGGUAAUUAUCUGCUGGAAUAGACGUGUCACUAGAAGGAGUCAGGCAUGCUUGACAUUUAGCCUUUUUAUGGAGAGGCGAUGAGUAAAAAUUAAGAUGAGGAAAAGGAAAUUAAUCUCCAGCCCAGGCAGGCAUUGAGAGAUCCUGGAGGAUAGUGGCUGAAUCAAUCACGAUGUUUGUGAGCCUGUUUUGAAAAGGAGCUAGUGAUGAGAUUCAGACCACAGGCUGGAAAAUCUGAGAAGGGAGGGAGGGAGGUUUUUUUUUUUUUGAAAAUAGAGUUAUGAUUGCUUUGAGAAGGUUUUCACGCAGUUUUAUUGGUUUUAAACACAACAGCAAACAUACAAACUGGGGCUGCGUGAUACGGUAAAAAAGAAAAAAGAAUCACAUUGUGAUAAUUUUGACUGAUAUGAUUCACGAUUAGUGGAAAUUUUUGCAUCACAAUUUCACAGAAAAACAAGAAACGAGAACGUGACAUUUGUGAUGAUCUCUGCCAGACAAACAUGUUUUCUUACAUGUGGAGAACUCUACAGUACUUCAUUAUAAUGCUGUAAUGUCACACAUUUUACCUUCAUUUAAAAACUGCAGCUUCAACGAUUUGGAUAUUGGUCUUCUCGCAAGUUCAAUAAUAUUUUGAUUAACUGUACAGCCCUAAUGCAAAAUUUGGUACAUUUCCAAUUAAUUGUUUUGUUGUUCCAUACAGUAUAUGUGGAAACAGCUAGCACAGGAAGUUAAAAAAAGCUAAUAUUUUAGCUUAAGAGGAGCUGCUAGGAUAGAUUUUACUAACCAUUUUCUGGCUGUAGCUUUAUAUUUAGUGAUAUCAAUCUUCUCAUGCAACUCUCAGCAACAAAGCAAAUGUCAAACUACACCUUUAAGUGUAUAUUUAAGGGCCUCUAAACAUCCUAAAUAGGUGAAAUAAUGAUCACUAAAUCGCCCGAGCCCUCCAUCAUUUAUUAAUGUGGUUAAAACGAGAUGCUGGCUCUCUUAAUCUUAAACUUAAAGUCAAGACUGUCCAGUGCAUUAAUUGGUGGUUUCUAGACGUCAAUCACCAACAGAGCUGUUAGCUGAUAUCAAGCCAGAAGGAAGAGUGCACGCUGUAGAUUCACUACAAUGCAGAGGAAAGGCUAAAUCUUAACAAUAGGACAGUGUAUGUUGGUAUGUUUAAUAGCUUUAAAUUUAACUUAAAUUGAAUUGUCACCAGUGUUUAACAGUAAUGCAUUACUUAGUUACAUGUUACAUUAAUGUGGCAGUACAGUUUAGUAAAAGGGUUUGCAAGUUGAAAUUCAGUUAUUUCAAUAAAUCCAGUAAAGAUUUUGAUGAGGGAUUUAUAUCAGUUUUCUCUCUGAAUUCAGACGGACUUUCCUGGUCUGAGACAUGUUAGCUUGGCGCUGGAGUUGGAGGUGUAGGGAGGCAGGACUCCCGGUUAUCCCAAAGUAUUUAAAUGUGUGGGCCUACAUUUCAGAGUCACCUGUGUUUGCUCAUAGGAGGAUGUGUGAACCCUUGUGCAGUCACUGGGGCUAAUCAAGCUGUUGGUCAGUUAAUACCUCUAAAACGUAGACAGGCUGCUUGUUAAAGGUCCAGUGAGGAACAUUUCGGUGGAUCAAUUGGCAGAAAUGGAAUAUAAUAUCCAUAGGUAUGUUUUCAUUAGUGUAUAAUCACCUGAAUAUAGGAAAUGGUUGUGUUUUUGUUACCUUAGAAUGAGAUGUUUUUAUCUACAGACGCUGCAGGUCCACCAUGUUUCUACUGUAUUUUGUUUUUUGUGAGUUUUGUGACGACUUUAGUUUCUCCUACACACAUCACAGCCCGUUCUCAAUCUCAAGGUCAUCAAAUACAGACGCGAGCGGUGUUCAGUUAGCUGCAAUCUACAACUUCAUCCCUAGAUUUCACUAAAUCCUACACACUGGUCCUUUAAAAUCAUGUUUUGUUUUCUAUUUCUACACUACAGAAUAUGUGAAGUGAAGGUGGAGAGGAUUUUGAGUUAAUUCUUCUACCUACCAUAGUAACUACCAACGUAAUGUUUUCAAUGUGUAAUAUGUAAUUAGUAAUUGAUUACAGUUUUCUCUGUAGCUUGCCCAACACUGCUCUUCAGGAGGAGUACUAAACAGCCUGUGUAAAUAAGUGUACACUGUCAUCUGUAGCUAUGUAGGCAGCUUUCCAAAGAAAAGAUAACCCUGAUAAAGUCUGAUGAAAUGCUUUUGAGCUGCAUUGUGAGAAAUGAAGGAAUACUUUUUGAGUUACUGGAGACUAAAAGUCAGGAUGUCUGGGCUUCUGCUGCUUCAUUCUUGACCGUUGUUUUUUAAAUCUGUCUCUUGUGAGCCCCCCAAAUGUAUGGAAGUGCAACACUUAACCAUUGAAGUGCCCCUUUAAUGAGAGUAAAUGCGACAUAAUGUGACUGAGAUGUGGAUUAGAAUCAUUACACUAACCUCAACCCUUCACAAAAUCAGCAGAGUGUUCAAGUAAAAAUCCUUGCGAAAUGUAAAUCUAAACAAAAUAUAGAUGAAGAGAAACAGGAAAACCAGCUCAUCCCUAUUUCCUGUCUAAGCGUGAAGCUGCACAAACCACAAUCAUAAAGCUAUAGCUGGCAGACACUUAAUAAUGUCGAUUUGCAUUACAGUCACACUAACACCUCUAAAUGAUCUGUGCAUAGACUGCAGACUGUCUUUAACAUGUACUUCCUGAGCAAAUGAUCUCUGUUCCUACUAAAAUGUCACUCAUAAGGGACCUAUUUUACCUUUGGUAGUUUUUAUACCGUUAAACAUCCAACAUUAGUGCAGAAAAUCCUUACUUCCCUAAAUAUUUUCUUCUUUGCCCUUCGUGAUAGAAACACAGAGUGUGUGGGCUGAAAUACAAACACAGUGAGCGAGUGAGCGAAUGUUUAAAAGGACAAUGCAAGAGCUCACUACCCAGAGUUAGAAAACCACUCAUCUAAAUCAGGGAAAUUAUGAUAAUGGGGCAUCUCAUUAUUCUCCAGCUCACUCCGAAUCAGUCACUGACAUCACAUCAUUAUAGACGUAUUCAUAUAAACAGAUUGGAUGGCAUAAAAAGAAGGCUGACACCCUCAAAACUUUCUCAUCUGCUUUGUCUAAUGUCUCCUCCGCGUGUUUGUGUGUGAGGCAGGAAGCGCAGGUCUCAGGAAGGGGUUGCAGGGUGUUAUGGUGGUCACCGUUCGGGACAGGGGGGCUGCAUGGCCAAAAGUAGGUCCCCCGGAUUGUUUGAUUGUCCUGUGAAAAUAUCAGGAUUUAAAGUCGGUAAAUUAUCAGUCAUUUUGGAUCAAGUAAAAAUCUAAGAACCCAACAGUAAUCAUAGUGAAAUAAAUAAGACUGCUGCUUAAAAGAUACCCACAGGCACUUGUGUAACGAGUGAGCUUUGGCAAGAAAAAAUCCCGAGGAUGUCUGACCGUUGCAGCAGACAGUUAAUCAAUCCAAGUGCUUCGUCUUUUUUCUGUUUUGGGGAAAAAAUAUGGGAGGCCAGCCUAAUCAGCAGAGGAAACAGAUCUCAUGGGGGGUGUCAGGCACCAGGAAAAUGGAUCUAGGUUGUGAAAAACCACGAUUACCACGAGCUGCUCUGGAUUCAGCCAUCUGGAGAUGCCUGCUCCAAAAGCCGGUAAAGUUCGCUCAACUGGGGCCCAACUAGGAAACAGGUUUGCACCUCCUUAACAGACAGCCAACACUCCCAGAGAGGAGGGAUGUUUGCACUCGCUCUACUCAUUCGUGUAAACUGACAUUGUUCACAUGGUAAAUUCUUUUUUUUAAAAGACAUUUACUGAAAUAUUUACUUAAUGCGCACCGUAAGAAAAACCUGAAAUCUGCUGUGAAAUUUCCUCUAUGUAAGAAUGUUCUUUUGCCCUCAAAUUAACCUUCUUGUCAUUUUCUCCCCAGUUUUCCAAGACUUCCAAUUUCCUUCCUGUCUGUCUUCGGGAAUGACAUCCACUGUUUUUUUUUAAUCUCUCUCUUAACAUUUCCAAUUACUGUAGUCUUUACCAGCUGACCAUUAACUUGUAUGUCACCCGCCCACUCAUCCAAAAAAAAUAAGAUGCACAUUUAGCUGAUGCUUAAAGAGAUGCCACUCAAACACAUACAAGCACCGCAAAGAACGGAAAGAUAAAAAUUCCAAGUAAAAUGCAAAGGAAAGAACAUCAUAAUAUAUUAUUUUAUAUAAAUUAUCCUUGUUCUUUUGACACUGUAUUCAUUGUAUGUAUUACUAAACUUUCUCAUAUUAUGCUCUUUUAUUUAUCUUUAAAGAAACAAAUAUAAAAAAGAUUCCAUGUAUUUUUUCUCUAUAUGAUGGAAUUGGUUUUGUUAUUUGUGCCUUUGGUAAGAGCUGAAUAAAGCCACUGUGCACCCUCA